UCUGUAGAUACUGGCCAUUGGAAUGCUGUGGAGAGAGAUUCUGUAGACUCUGGCCAUUGGAACGCUGUGGAGAGAGAUUCUGUAGACUCUGGCCAUUGGAACGCUGUGGAGAGAGAUUCUGUAGAUACUGGCCAUUGGAACGCUGUGGAGAGAGAUUCUGUAGACUCUGGCCAUUGGAACGCUGUGGAGAGACACAGACAAAGACAUUCCGGAACACUUUAAUCUCUGUUCUAGAAUAGCAUUUGAAAUUCUUAUCAAAUGUCUUAUCUCCACAGUUUUGUCAGCACUUUACCUGUUAGUGUUGAUUGUUAUAUUUAGUCAGGGCUAUGGAGCACUUUUUUUUCUCUCAAUCAGUGAAUAAUGUACUGUCGUGUUUAUGAAGUAGUUUUAAAUGUACUUUAUUUAUAUAUAUAUAUAUUACGUGGACAGCUGGCAUGAUGUAUCUGUAUUUGUUUUCUUCAACGAAAUGCAUGACUGACUGCUGAUAGAAACAUACAUAUGUUUAUUGGAAAGAGAAAAGGAAAGGAAAAAGACAAAGCAUGUAUUAACAACUAAACUUCUAUUGAAAUAACUUUAUAACUGUAUAAAUGAGAACAAGAAGAACAGCUGGAUUUUUAGUCCUAUUGAGCUAUUGGAAAUUUCGCUAAUUGAUAUUUUGUGAUUGACAUGUUUGGGAACUUGUAUGAGGUUGUAUGGGUCCUAUAAAUAUAUAUAUUGAGUAGCUCGUAGCUAACACCAUUUUCACAGCAGAACUUGAGAAGUUUGAAAAGAGGAAGAGUAUGAAUGUAUAAAUAGUACCAGUCAAAAGUCAAAAGUGUGUGCAAAGCUUCCAUCAAGGCAAAGGGUGGCUACUUUGAAGAAUCUCAAAUAUAAAAAAAUAUAUAUAUUUUGAUUUGUUUAACACUUUUUUGGGUUGCUACAUGAUUCCCGUAUGUGUUAUUUCAUAGUUUUGAUGUCUUAAAUAUUAUUAUACAAUGUAGAAAAUAAAAAUUCUGCAAUGAGUAGGUGUGUCCAAACUGUUGACUGGUACUAUAUGUGUACCCUAAUAUAAAGAGACUGUACCUUUUCAUAAGUAUAUAAGGUGUUUUCUCAGUGCGUCCAAAUGGAUGACAUUAUUGGAACCAAAAGGGAACAAGGCAGUGUUGACAUAUUGCUUUUCUCCAAAAGUAUAGUAGUAGUAGUGUGAUUUGUCUUUGAGAUGAUAUAUAUUGCUUGAACUAUGUGAUGUUUAUUAAUUCAAAGGUCAGAAAGAAGGGUUUGCGAAAUGUUUAUUAAUUCAAAGGUCAGAAAGAAGGGCCAAAGGUCAUAUGUCAGCUAUUGAAGAAUGUGUAGUUAUUUGUUAUUAGGGACACCUGUAAAUUCUACUUCACUCGAGUUGUGGCACAAUUACCUGUUAGUAGAAAACCCAAGCAUUGAUAUAUGCUGAGUUGCAGAUGUGGUCAGGCAUUGUUACGUUGGUUCACUUUACUUUACAGUCCACCUGGUAUAUUCUUACGUUUACAUGGCCAACCGUUGGGUUUCUUUGGUACCAGUAACACCAAUGUUUUGAAUAUUAUUUAUUAAGUACCAUGCAGAAAAACUGGCUUAACUGAAAGCACCAAGACUGUUAAAGUGAAGAAACAAGACUGUAAAGUUAAACAACAUAACUGUAAAGUAAAGCAACAAGACUGUAAAGUAAAGCAACAUGACUGUAAAGUGAAGCAACAGGACUGUAAAGUAAAGCAACAGGACUGUAAAGUAAAGCAUACAGACUGUAAAGUGAAGCAACAUGACUGUUAGGUUAAACAACAGGACUGUCAAGUAUAGAAACAGGACUGUUAAAGGAAAGCACCAAAACUGUUAAAGUGAACCAACAGGACUGUUAAGUAAAGCAACAGGAUUGUAAAAUGAAGCAACAGGACUCUAAGGCAAAGCAACAGAACUGUUAGGUGAAACAACAGGAUUGUAAAGGGAAGCAACAGGACUGUAAAGUAAAGCAACAGGACUGUUAAGUUAAGCAACAGGACUGUAAAGUAAAACUACAGGACUGUACAGUAAAGCAACAGGACUGUAAAGUAAAACUACAGGACUGUAAAGUAAAACUACAGGCCUGUAAAGUAAAGCAACAGGACUGUAAAGUAAAACUACAGGACUGUAAAGUAAAGCAACAGGACUGUAAAGUAAAACUACAGGACUGUAAAGUAAAACUACAGGACUGUAAAGUAAAGCAACAGGACUGUAAAGUAAAACUACAGGACUGUAAAGUAAAACUACAGGCCUGUAAAGUAAAGCAACAGGACUGUAAAGUAAAACUACAGGACUGUAAAGUAAAGCAAACAGGACUGUAAAGUAAAACUACAGGACUGUAAAGUAAAGCAACAGGACUGUAAAGUAAAACUACAGGACUGUAAAGUAAAACUACAGGACUAUAAAGUAAAGCAACAGGACUGUUAAAGGAAAGAGUUUUAUGUAUCAGGUCGAGCAGCUCUGCUGAAAGGGGAUGAUGGCCUUUGUGAGUGAGUUGAGCUGGGUGAGGUCAUGACGCUGAGUCCUCGUCAGAAGGAUGACCCUAGCACACCCCCUAGAUGGAUUGAUGGGGAGUAGGGUGAAGUUUCCCCUAGACACUGAUCUUGGUUCAGUUUUGCAUUUCCCCCCACUAAUGGUUAAGGUUAGGUUUAGGGGAUGGGAAGCUUAUCCUAGAUCUGUACCCAGGGGAAUCUUCACAAGCAUGUUUGUAAGUGUGUGAGAGACAUAGAAGAGAGGCUGACAAUCAGAAAGGGGAAAAAGUGGAUGGAAUUACAGGUAGUUUGCUUGUAUUUUCUUGCGUGGCUGGCAUGUGACGGAAUGUUGAUGCACCUGAGCAGGGAGGUGGAAUGAACUGGGUAUAUUGACUAUUCGCAGCUAUGCUUUGUCAAUGUUGAAGAGCCAGAUAUGUUCUCCUGCAUCUGUUUAGCCACAGCUUUAAGAUACUACACAGUGAAGUGGUGAAUGUAUCCUCAUACACUGACGAUGUCUCCUAUCGUGGUUAAAUAAGAGCCAUUUUUAUAGAGAUUAUUUCAUUGUUUCGUUUUGUUUUUGUUUUUUGCUUGAAAUGUAACCGUCCACGAGCUUGCUCUCUUCUAGAAUGUUCACUUAGACAUGUUCUAGAACUUUUCUCAGUGUUCUGAGAGACUGGUUUAUUAACGUCUGAAACCAACUACAAAUGUAUUGUCUUUUAAUGAGUAUUAUACUGCCAUUUUAUUUUUGUAAUGAGGGGAGAAAAGUAAUUUUAGAUGAACGAGUUAUGGAGCCAUGACUGCAAGGUGAUGAUGGGGAAAUGUGUAUUUAUAUUCUCGUAAAAAAAUGAGGGCUUUGUCCAGUUUACAGUGGCCUUAUUUUAUUUAGGAGACGUUACUCUACUGUUGUAGCACUGGUACACGGUUGAAACAAACACCGUUUUUUUUUUUUUUUAAGUAAACAAAACAAGUAUUUUUCUUGAAAUACUGUACUGAAGUAUCUCUCUGUAAAUGUAUAGUUUUCUGAACGUAUUUAUUCAUCAUUACACUAUAUUGAAGUGUAGCUGUUUGUUGUUUGCUUGGUACUGUUUCACUGCAGUCUUUUCUCCUGGCUGACUCACCUGUAUUGGUUCAGUCGCUGUUAUACUGUAUCUUCGGUUAUUUAUUUUAAAGAAUAGGCUCUGUGGUUGACCUUUAAACUAGGCAUGAAUAAGACAUAUGAUGUGGGGAAAUGUAUUGAUUUAUUUAAUGUUGAAUUUAGACGUUAUCUGAUCCACUGAAUUAACACUUUUUUUUUCAAAAUCAAGCUAAAUUUACCAUUUUAUUUAUGAAGUUGAUAUUAAGUGUAAAUUUAAUACACAUUUGUACUUUAGUAAUCCUUACAAUAUUUACCGCAUGGUUACUUUGAAGAAUGUAUUGUAUUUAAUGAUAUAACGACAUGACGACGAUAAUGAUGAUUUAAUGAGUUUAGAAAUACAGAGCCUUCAGAGAGUAUUCAUAGCCGUUGACGUAGUCUACAUUUUGUAGUGUUACAGCCUGAAUAAAUAUUUUUUUCUGUCACCCAUCGACACACAAUAUCUUACAAUGGCAAAGUGAAAACAUGUCUUUACAAAUGUUAUCAAAUUUAUUAAAAAUUAAAUACAGAAAUAUCACAUUUACAUAAGUAUUCACAAACCCCUGAGUCAAUGCAUGUUAGAAUCACCGUUGACAGCGAUUACAGUUGUGAGUCAUUCUGGGUAAAUCUCUAAGAGUUUUCCACACCUGGAUUGUACAAUGUUUUUUAAUUAUUUUUUUAUUUUUUUAUUAUUCAAACUCUGUCAAGUUGGUUGUUGAUCAUUGCUAGACGGCCAUUUUCAAGUCUUGACAUACAUUUUCAUUCCAGUGUAUAUUUGACUUUGUGUUUCAGGUUGUUGUCCUACUGAAAGGUGAAUUUGUCUCCCAGUGUCUGUGCUAGGAUUUUGCCUGUGCUUAGCUCUAGUUUGAAUAUUUUUUAUCCCAAUAGCAACUCCCUAGUCUUUGCCGAUGACAAGCAUAGCAUGACGCAGCCACCACCAUUUUUGAAAAUAUAAAGAGUUGUACUCAGUGACGUGUUGUAUUUGAUUUACCCUAAACAUAAAGUUAAUUUCUUUGCCACAUUUUUUGCAAUCUUACUUUAGUGCCUUAAUAAUGCAAACAUGAUGCAUGUUUUGAAAUAUUUUAUUCUGUUUAGGCUUUCUUCUUUUUCAUUAAGUCAAUAUUGUGGAGUAACUACAAUGUUGUUGAUCCAUCCUCAGUUCUCUCCGAUCACAGCCAUUAAACUCUGUAACUGUUUUAAAGUCACCAUUGACCUCAUGGUGAAAUCCCUGAGUGGUUUCCUUCCUCUCCGGCAACUGAGUUAGGAAGGACGCCUGUAUCUUUGUAGUGACUGGGUGUAUUGAUACACCAUCCAACGUGUAAUUAAAAAGUUCCCCAUGCUCAAAGGGAUAUUGAAUGUCUGCAGUUAGUUUUUUUUACCCAUCAACCAAUAGGUGCCCUGCUUUGCGAGGCAUUGGAAAACCUCCCUGGUCUUUGUGGUUGAAUCUGUGUUUGAAAUUCACUGCUCGACUGAGGGACUUUACAGAUAAUUGUAUGUGUGGGGGUACAGAAAUGAAGUAUUCAUAUAAAAAUCAUGUUUAACACUAUUAUUGCCAACAGAGUGAGUCCAUGCAACUUAUUAUGUGACUUGUUAAGCACAUUUUUACUCCUGAACUUAUUUAGGCUUGCCAUAACAAAGGGGUCGAAUACUUAUUGACUCAAGAUUGGCUUUUAAUUGUUUAUUAAUUUGUAAAAAUGUCUAAAAACUUAAUUCCACUUUGACAUUAUGGGAUAUUGUGUGUAGGCCAGUGAGAACAAAAUAAAUUCAGGCUGUAACGCAACAAAAUAUAAGAAAAGUCAAGGGGUGUGAAUACUUUCUGAAGGCUCUCAGCACUGUAUCAUGGGAAAUCUGUGAAUUGCAAGAAAUAUGAACAAUUGUAUUUAACGUAGCAUUAAUUUAGUCUUCCAUCCUACUGAUAUAGAGUUCUUCUUCUGGCAAUAAUAAUGUAUCUUCUUGUGUCAGAGGACUUAGCUAUGUCUGUUAGACCUUGACUAGUAGGGCUGGCCUAGAUACCUCUGACUGUUUUCUAUUCCGAUGACAACAAACAUCACUACAGAGUUUGAACUGCAGGGUCACCCUGGAGUGCCGGGCACUCCUUUCACAAGUCAGAACAAUGCCAUACAUGUUGAACAUUUUAAACGUAGACGCUGCCAUAGUGUUGAAGAACAAAACAUUGGGCGGCAGGGUAGCCUAGUGGUUAGAGCGUUGGGCUAGUAACCGUAAAAAAGGUUGCAAGUUCAAAUCCCUGAGCUGAUAAGGUACAAAUCUGUCGUUCUUCCCCCUGAACAAGGCAGUUAACCCACUGUUCCUGGUAGGCGGUCAUUGAAAAAUAAGAAUUUGUUCUUAACUGACUUGCCUAGUUAAAUAAAGGUAAAAAUAAAACAUUGGUCUAGCCCAUUAUUGAGAGUACUCUACAAGUACCACUAGGCAGUAUUUAAAUCCAACUCUGAUAACGUCUAGUUCAGCAGAAAUCAUAUCAAAUUUGACAAACUGUUUUCAGAGCUUAGCUCCAUUGACUCACUCAAUGCAUUUAGGACAAAGAACAUUUUACGAUGAACCCCACACUUUUCCACGAGAAAAGAAAAUCAAAGAAACAAAGCAGUGUUAACGUAGCAACCGUCAUCAACGAUAAGAAUAUUGUGUGUUUUUUUUUCUCUCUCUCUCUCUCUAAUUUUACUACUGCUGCUGUAAAUGCUGUUUGUCAACAUUGUCAAAUGUUCUAAUCGUCGUUUAAUCACAGCACAAGUUCCUGAGCAGCCAUUUUGUCUUUACACUUCUGACUGUCUGUCACAAAACACAGAUGAGAAUCUCCCAAAGCCAUGUUGUAGACCACAGUAGCUAAUCCCCUUAAAGACAGCCUUCAUAUUAACAUCCCCAGCCAGGAAACCUCCUCUCAAACGGGCAGCAAUGUAAUGAGGUAACGUUGUAGAAUUAUUUUAUUUUUUUAAUUUUUAAUUUUUUUAAGUUACAGCAACGUUAAUGUUUCUGAUAAUAUUUUGGGUCAUUUCGAUUAUCUAGAUUAAAAUGCUUCAGCCACACUUAUUCACACACAUAAAUGUAAGUUGCCCUGCUAUCAACUGUAAAGGUAGAUCCUUAGGGAACAUGCUGUGGCUUGAUCAAUGAGGCUUUUGACCAAUAGCGUGGGGGGGUUAAAGGCUCAUUGGGGGUCUAAGGUUGGUAUUUGCAGAACUGCCUUUACUUAUUGGUUUGGACUAUCUUCUAGACUCCAUGAGACAUUCAAAUACAGAGUUUGAAAGAGCGAAGUGUAGCAGUUUGUCUGAUUGAAGGAUGGCAAAGACAAGGAGCUGUAAUUUUAUACCUGUGCUUUGUAAAUGUUUUCUAUGUGCAGUAUUUGAUAAUGUAAAACUGGUAUUUUUGUGGUUUGUAUGCUACAUAAUUGAUUACUUAGGGUGCACGUAGUUUUGUAAGAAAAUAGUACCAAAUGAAUGAAAAACAUACAACAGCAACAAAAAAGUUUCACGUUUUUUCGGGUUCAGAAGCCUGUAUUUGCCCCUUUACCGUCUGGACGUAAAGUCAAUAAAGUUUGAUUCGAAUCACCAAUUUGUUUGCCCAUGAUGUCAUUGUGUAACUGAUUUCAACUUUGUCACUUUUGGGGACAACUUUCAGGACGUAU
This 7222-nucleotide long non-coding RNA is filed under the name Salmo salar (Atlantic salmon). RNAcentral describes it as "lncRNA (ENSSSAG00000098796.1)". The record is from RNAcentral. Lineage: Eukaryota; Metazoa; Chordata; Actinopteri; Salmoniformes; Salmonidae.